Passer domesticus (house sparrow) is the source of this 440-nucleotide long non-coding RNA. RefSeq lists it as uncharacterized. The record is from RefSeq and is a predicted model, not a curated record. The transcript is spliced from 3 exons. NCBI's taxonomy places the organism in Eukaryota, Metazoa, Chordata, Aves, Passeriformes, Passeridae.
UGCACUAACCCUUCAUAGUGUCUGAGCCCCUUGGGAUGUGUGGGGCUUCUCCUGGGACCAGGACAUCUGCCACAGGUCACAGGACAUCCUGUCCAUGCCCUGCUGCUGCACAAAACCUCGUCUGAGAAGAUACAAAUGUUCCUCCUCCGAUUCCCAGAAUCCUGUGUUCAGGUGGAAGGUGUGAUGGCCCUGGUUAUCUCAGAUGUGUAUCCCCAUGGGCCAUCAUCACUGGGCAUCCUCGGAUAGAUGCCACCAUGAACGACCAUCUCCUGUGCAGCUCCUGUAUCCUUCCAACAUCACCACAUUCUCCUCAUAAUCAGGCUGGGUAAUGUGUCCCAAAGCACCACUAAAACAGUGCACAGCAAAGCCCUCAUUUCCACAGCUCCUCCAACCAAAUUACAGUGGGGCAACUCUGGUGAAACUUCUGUUGCUGCUACUUC